Molecule: ribosomal RNA, 492 nt
Filed under: uncultured bacterium
Lineage: Bacteria
Description: partial 16S ribosomal RNA
Rfam family: Bacterial small subunit ribosomal RNA
Source: RNAcentral
AGUGAACGCUGGCGGUAGGCCUAACACAUGCAAGUCGAACGGCAGCACAGUAAGGGCUUGCUCUUACGGGUGGCGAGUGGCGGACGGGUGAGGAAUACAUCGGAAUCUACUUUUUCGUGGGGGAUAACGUAGGGAAACUUACGCUAAUACCGCAUACGACCUACGGGUGAAAGCAGGGGAUCUUCGGACCUUGCGCGAUUGAAUGAGCCGAUGUCGGAUUAGCUAGUUGGCGGGGUAAAGGCCCACCAAGGCGACGAUCCGUAGCUGGUCUGAGAGGAUGAUCAGCCACACUGGAACUGAGACACGGUCCAGCCUCCUACGGGAGGCAGAAGUGGGGAAUAUUGGACAAUGGGCGCAAGCCUGAUCCAGCCAUACCGCGUGGGUGAAGAAGGCCUUCGGGUUGUAAAGCCCUUUUGUUGGGAAAGAAAAGCAGCAGGUUAAUACCCCGCUGUUCUGACGGUACCCAAAGAAUAAGCACCGGCUAACUUCGUG